UCGAACGGUAACAGGAUGUGCUUGCWCAUCGCUGACGAGUGGCGGACGGGUGAGUAAUGCUUGGGAACUUGCCUUUGCGAGGGGGAUAACAGUUGGAAACGACUGCUAAUACCGCAUAAUGUCUUCGGACCAAACGGGGCUUAGGCUCCGGCGCAAAGAGAGGCCCAAGUGAGAUUAGCUAGUUGGUAAGGUAACGGCUUACCAAGGCGACGAUCUCUAGCUGUUCUGAGAGGAAGAUCAGCCACACUGGGACUGAGACACGGCCCAGACUCCUACGGGAGGCAGCAGUGGGGAAUAUUGCACAAUGGGGGAAACCCUGAUGCAGCCAUGCCGCGUGUGUGAAGAAGGCCUUCGGGUUGUAAAGCACUUUCAGUUGUGAGGAAAAGUUAGUAGUUAAUACCUGCUAGCCGUGACGUUAACAACAGAAGAAGCACCGGCUAACUCCGUGCCAGCAGCCGCGGUAAUACGGAGGGUGCGAGCGUUAAUCGGAAUUACUGGGCGUAAAGCGCACGCAGGCGGUUUGUUAAGCUAGAUGUGAAAGCCCCGGGCUCAACCUGGGAUGGUCAUUUAGAACUGGCAGACUAGAGUCUUGGAGAGGGGAGUGGAAUUCCAGGUGUAGCGGUGAAAUGCGUAGAUAUCUGGAGGAACAUCAGUGGCGAAGGCGACUCCCUGGCCAAAGACUGACGCUCAUGUGCGAAAGUGUGGGUAGCGAACAGGAUUAGAUACCCUGGUAGUCCACACCGUAAACGCUGUCUACUAGCUGUGUGUGCCUUUAAGGCGUGCGUAGCGAAGC
RNAcentral lists this ribosomal RNA (793 nucleotides) under Alteromonas sp. Its description in RNAcentral is "bacterial SSU rRNA". It matches the Rfam family "Bacterial small subunit ribosomal RNA", at positions 62 to 852 of the family's 1533-position model. The record is from RNAcentral. Lineage: Bacteria; Pseudomonadati; Pseudomonadota; Gammaproteobacteria; Alteromonadales; Alteromonadaceae.